Molecule: ribosomal RNA, 525 nt
Filed under: uncultured eukaryote
Lineage: Eukaryota
Description: SSU rRNA
Rfam family: Eukaryotic small subunit ribosomal RNA
Source: RNAcentral
UGGUCAUAUGCUUGUUUCAAAGCCUAAGCCAUGCAUGUCUAAGCGCAGCUUGUAAAAGUGAAGCCGCGAAUAGCUCAUUACAACAGCCGUUGUUUAUUGGAUCUCCAUUCUCUACUUGGAAUAACUGUGGUAAUUCUAGAGCUAAUACAUGCGACCAAGGCCUGAACUUACGUGAUGGCUGCAUUUAUUAGAACAAGACCAACCGGCUUCGGCCGUUCUCUGGUGACUCUGAAUAACUGAGUGAAUCACAUGGUCUAGUACCCGUGAUGUAUCUUUCAAGUGUCUGCCUUAUCAACUUUCGAUGGUAGUUUAUGUGCCUACCAUGGUUGUAACGGGUAACGGAGAAUAAGGGUUUGACUCCGGAGAGGGAGCCUGAGAAACGGCUACCACUUCUAAGGAAGGCAGCAGGCGCGCAAAUUACCCAUUCUCGGCACGAGGAGGUAGUGACGAAAAAUACCAAGCUGGGAUCCAUUGAGUUCCGGCAUUGGAAUGAGAACAAUGUAAAUCUUUUAACGAGUAUCUAGU